This 259-nucleotide ribosomal RNA is filed under the name uncultured bacterium. RNAcentral's name for it is "partial 16S ribosomal RNA". It matches the Rfam family "Bacterial small subunit ribosomal RNA", at positions 99 to 354 of the family's 1533-position model. The record is from RNAcentral.
CGGACGGGUGAGUAACGCGUGGGCAACCUGCCCUGUACAGGGGGAUAACACUUAGAAAUAGGUGCUAAUACCGCAUGAGCGCACAAAGGCGCAUGCCUAUGUGCGGGAAGCCCGCGAGGGCGGUACGGGAUGGGCCCGCGUCUGAUUAGCCAGUUGGCAGGGUAACGGCCUACCAAAGCGACGAUCAGUAGCCGGCCUGAGAGGGUGGACGGCCACAUUGGGACUGAGACACGGCCCAAACUCCUACGGAAGGCAGCAG